UACGGAGGGAGCUAGCGUUGUUCGGAAUUACUGGGCGUAAAGCGCACGUAGGCGGCGAUCUAAGUCAGAGGUGAAAGCCCGGGGCUCAACCCCGGAACUGCCUUUGAGACUGGAUUGCUUGAAUCCGGGAGAGGUGAGUGGAAUUCCGAGUGUAGAGGUGAAAUUCGUAGAUAUUCGGAAGAACACCAGUGGCGAAGGCGGCUCACUGGACCGGCAUUGACGCUGAGGUGCGAAAGCGUGGGGAGCAAACAGG
This 253-nucleotide ribosomal RNA is filed under the name uncultured bacterium. Its description in RNAcentral is "partial 16S ribosomal RNA". It matches the Rfam family "Bacterial small subunit ribosomal RNA", at positions 524 to 776 of the family's 1533-position model. The record is from RNAcentral.